Labrus mixtus (cuckoo wrasse) is the source of this 2036-nucleotide long non-coding RNA. RefSeq lists it as uncharacterized. The transcript has 4 exons. The record is from RefSeq and is a predicted model, not a curated record. Lineage: Eukaryota; Metazoa; Chordata; Actinopteri; Labriformes; Labridae.
UCCAUCCAUACAUCCUUUCAUCCAUCCAUCUCUUUAUCCAUCCAUCCAUCCGUCAUCAGCAGUUAGCAGAAGGCUCGUGAUAGCUGGUUAGCAUCAGAUAGUUGACCGGAGUUUUCCACACAAUCGUUAUUUUAAGGGGCGGCUGUGGCUCAGUUGGUAGAGUGGGUCGUCUCUCAGCUGGAAGGUCGGGGGUUCGAUCCCCAGCACCUGCAGCCACAUGUACUUUUACAUUCAGUUGACAAGCCUGAAUAAAUGUUGUAUUUCAUUUUUCAUUUUUUUUAAACCAGUAGGAAUGUUAAGUUAAAUCCUUGAUGUAUAAAUCUCUUCUUAUUCUAAUUUUUUAUAUUUUAAGUGCUUAUUUAUGUAUCUAUUCUUAUAUUGUUUUAUUUGCUGUAACACCACAAUUUCCUAUCAUAAAGUAAUUCUAUUCUAUUCUACUCUAUGUACGACGUGUCCUUUGGUAAGACACUUAACCUCAGUGUGUGAAUGUGUAGGUCUGACCUGCGGUGAAAAAGCACUUUUGAGUAGUCAGAAGAGUAGAAAAGUUUAGAAACGACUUUCUCUCUCACAAACAUAACAGGAGACUGACCCCUUGUGGCGCUUUUUGGUACUGCAAUGACAUUCUGGCUGUUACAAACUUCUCCAAAUACAUUUUAAUGAUGAUUAUUUAAUUGGUCUCAAAUAAUUUAUCCUUGUUUUUUACUCGCAUUGUUUUUUUUUUCAAAAUAUUCAAACUUGGACGCAGAGUCAGUCUGCUAACACACUCCUGAGAACACGGGACGUCUGGUCAAUAAAACCCGUUAACGAGGAUUUAUCUGAGGUAACUGAACGGCCGAGUCUGAAGGUGAAGUGUUGUCUGUUGGUUUGUUUCAGAGGAGGAGAUCAGAUAAGUGCUGCAGUGAAGCUCUGGAGCUCUGCUAAAUGGUUUAGAGAGCGAGCACAUGACGUCCGUAAUGAAACGAUCAGACUGAACAUGUUCGGUUUAUCUCCGUGUUCUCAUCUGAUCAACAGGUCACCGAAACGACCGCCAUGAACUCAGAGACAGACACACACUGGGUCUCUUCCUCUGGGUUUACUUUGAGUUUACUGGUGUUUAUUUGUUAAAUACUGUCGUACAUCUCGGGUCCGAUGAUGGUGGCUGGGCGUAAAGCGGUUGUUUUGGGGAGCGGAGGUGCUGACAGGAAGUGAGCGGAGGUGACCAGUGGGCGCGCACUGUAGCUGUUCCCACUCAACGUUCUUGAAGCCAAAAUACGCCGCUUACGGGCGCUUCCAUCUUGCGAUUUUGACGUCAUUUGGAGCCAGAGUCUGCGCAGUAGUGUCCGGGGGCAGGAGCCCUGGUAACACGCCCCGCCCAUUUAGCGUACUGCCCUGAUGACUUACGCAGCCCAGCUACGCCGAAAGCGCUCCGCCGGUCUACGAUGAAGAAAUGUACAAAGAAGAGAUAAAAGCAGCUGGUCUGACAUCUUCCAGAGGUGAAGUAGGUCAGGCUGGGGUCACAUAGUUUGAAGGAACCUCCUCCUUCUUUCACCUGUGCCAGAUGCCCUGCUCAUCCACUGUGGUAGAAAUGACCUUACACCAGCAGCUCUCCCAGAUGAAGAGUCCUCUCUGCCAUCACCCAGAGGAGCUGAUCAACGUCUGCACAACUGAAGAAGGUGGACAGAGUCUGGAGCUUUGUGACAGUGAACAGUGAGAAGGCUACCAUAGACAUCCUCAGAUAAAACACAGAGAUCCUGGUCAAUAUUCAAUUUAUUUUUCUUUCCAUGAUGUUGCCCUGUGUUUGAAAUGCCAGAUGCUGGAGGGUUGUGUUGGAUUUGCUUUUCCAUCAUCUUUUAACAGUCAAACAAUCAUCCAGGAUCUUUAUAUUUUAUUUGAUUUUUGUUUGGAUUUCUUUGUUAAAUUAUUUUUUAUACUUUCUCCUAUGUCCCAGCAGUUCGACCUGAUGGUCUCCCUUACUUAUUUUCCACAUGGUUCAUGAAGCCAGGGGUUGUUUAUUGAAGUUAUUUUUUCAUAAAAUGUUUAAAUAAACUUUUUUUAAA